Molecule: non-coding RNA, 407 nt
Organism: Rana temporaria (common frog)
Lineage: Eukaryota; Metazoa; Chordata; Amphibia; Anura; Ranidae
Source: the annotation of a RefSeq genome assembly
GUCUUCUAGUUUGGAUCUGACCCUCCAGAAACAUCAAGAUGAUUUCUCCCAGUUAUCUGCUGGCUGUCAUCUUCAUUUCUAUUCAGGGAUCCUGUGGAGAGAUUGUGAUGACUCAGACUCAGGAUUCUAUCUCUGUGUCCCCGGGACAGACAGUCACCAUCACAUGUACAUCCAGUAGCAGCCUAACUAGUAACAGCAAAUACUUUCUAGCCUGGUACCAACAGAAGCCCCACCAACCUCCAACGCUUCUCAUCAAUUGGGCCAGCACCCGGGCAUCUGGGAUCCCGGACAGGUUCAGUGGUUCUGGAUCUGAAACUGAAUACAAAUUAACUAUCACUGGAGUAACUGCAGAAGAUGAAGCAAACUAUUACUGCCAGCAGACAGGGUGGACUCCACUCACACAGUGA